Molecule: unclassified non-coding RNA, 3751 nt
Filed under: Stegodyphus dumicola
Lineage: Eukaryota; Metazoa; Arthropoda; Arachnida; Araneae; Eresidae
Description: fK506-binding protein 15-like, transcript variant X6
Source: RNAcentral
AAAAUAAGUACUGCCCACUGAUUGUGUUAUUGGUUUUGUAUAAUCAAUUAUUUAGCGAUAGAGUGCCGCAAUAUUUACUCUGUAGAUUUAAAAAUUAGGAAUAUUCUAGUGUUGCUUUUUUUUUAUUAUUAUUAUAAAGUUUGAGGCGAUUCCAAUGACGUGUGAAAAACAUUUCUCAUACAUUUACUGAAGCUGCAGCUUAAGAUAAUAUAAUUUACCAUUAUGGAUGAUGAAGAUACAGAUUUUACUCUCAAUGCUGCUGCCAGGUCUCGUCUUUCAAGUCUAUUUCAAGCCGAAACUUCUAGUUCUGAUGUAAAUCAAGCUUUGACAUUCACUGCACCUAAGCAACCUAGAAAAACUGAAAACCCACAGAGCAGCUCUGGAACUUUAAAGUUAAUUCAUGCUGCUGUAGUUCAUGCAUUUAAAUUAAAGGAUGGAAAUUAUACUAAUCAAGGAAAAUUAGGCUGUGCAAUAUUAGGCCUGCAUGAAGCUUCAACCUAUAAAUUUCUGCUGUAUAAAGGCAAGCAAGUACAAGUUACUUCUUGCAGUAUCAUUCCAAGUUUUACAUUUCAUGUGCAGCCUAAUAAUUAUGCUAACAUUUAUGAUGAAAAUAAAGAAAAUUGGUCCUUGAAUUUUCUUUCUGAAGCAGAACUAUCAGAAUUUGCUAAACAGAUUGCCUUAGCUAAGGCAAAUUGUCAAGGCAAGAAUCUGUCACUAGUUAUCCAAGAUUUGCUUCAAGGAGAAGGUCCAGGUUUAGAAAGUGGAGAUUCAGCUGAAGUUAAAUACAUAGGUUGGCUACUGCAAAAUUAUUCAUUUGGCCAGGUUUUUGACAGCAAUAUGAGUUCAGAGUCAUUUUUCCGUGUGCGUCUUGGAAAGAGUAAGGUAAUUAAGGGAUGGAAUGAAGGUCUUUUAGGUGCUCAGAAAGGCUGCAAACGUCUGUUGAUUGUGCCUCCUAAUUUAGCAUAUGGUUCAGAAGGUAUGGGCAAUACCAUACCACCACAUUCCACCUUAAUUUUUGAAAUUCAUGUAGUAAAAGUUAAAAUUUCUCGAGAUGCCUCUCAUUCUCCUAGCCCAGUUAAAGUUUCUGAUAACAUUGCAGAAAAAAAACCUGAAGUUCCACCUCGCCAUUCUAUAUCGCAAGAAGAUAAUAUAAGAAUGAGAGGUGCUUCAAUAUCUGAACAAUUAACCCAAAGUCCCAAGAAGGACAAAGCUCAGCUCAUAUCUCGUAUGGCAAAAAUGGGAACAGCAACUCUACCUUUCCAGGGAGCAGUUGCAGCUCAAGUCAGUAGUGAUUCAGAAAAUGAGGAAGAAAUUUCAGCUCCUCCAGUUACAACACAAAGUUCAUCUAGAACAUCUUCUCCAAAACCCUUUUCAAAACCUAGGUCUCGUACAAAUUCUGGAACUAUCACUUUUGCUCAAGUAACUCAUCCUCAACCACUACCAGCAAAUACUCCAUUCCAAAUGACUCAGCAGUCUAGUCAAGUUUCACUUUAUGCACAGUCAGCCAUGCCAGUGCAGCAGCCGUAUGUGACUUCUGCACCAUUUCCAGCAUAUCCACCUCAAAUAUCAAGUCCUUUUCAAGUUCCACAAACUCAGUUUCCUAUGCAUGGUAUUUCAGGAGUGAUGCCAUCUAUUCCUACAAGUAUGGCAGAUGCUCAUCUACCAUUACUUAUUACUGAAACCCGAAGUCAAAAUGCUGAAGUGAGAUUAAGUUUGUCAAAGAUAACUGAUAAAGUGGACUCUGUUAUUCAAAAGGUUGAUGAUUUACGCCUGCAACAGGGUAAAUCAACUGGUUUGAGUCAUAUGCAUUUUAUGGAAGGUACUAUUCUUCUUCAAAAUAUUCAAAGAAUUAUCCAGGAGAAUCAACAACUAAAGGAGGAUGUUGAAAUAAGAAAUUCUAAAAUACAGGCCCUCAAUGAAAAAAUCUGUGAUCUCUUGCAAAGAAAUCAAAGGUUUUUUGAAGAGAGCACUAAUAUAAUGGAGCAAAGGAAAGAUUCACUUCAGGCUGCAAAUACACAAUCUCAUGUGAAAUUACUCAGUUUAGAGGAAGAGAAGGCUAAGCUUUCAUCUGAAUUAAUAAAUGCAACUGCGAAAUUAAAAAAUGUGGAGGCUGAUCUUCUUAGGCAUGAGAAUCAAGAAAAGGAGUUGCAGCAGAAAUUACUAGAAUCAGAGAGAGAGUUUAAAGAAUUAAAAGACAGACAGAAUAUAAAUACUGAAAAGGAAUCUUUGCUAAAUUCUUUAUGUGCUGAAUUGGAAAAUUUCAAGCAUGAGAAUAGGCUUCUAAAUACUAAGUUGCAAAGUCUGGAAGAGAAGCAGAAGGAAUUACAAGAUACAAACGAAUCAUUAGAAAAGCUUCUUUUAGAAAGUAAACAAAAGAUUCAAGAAAUAAAAUCUAAAGCUGCUUCUGAUUUGGAAAAUUUAAAUGCUGCUCAUGAGGAAGAAAUUCAAUCAUUUCAAAAGAAACUAAGGGAGAGAACAUCAUCAUUGAAUGAAGCAAGUAAUACUACUAAUGAACCUGAUCAGGAGAAAGAAAACCUCAGGCAAGAAUUAGAAAGUACCCUUGAGAAAAAAGAUGAGUUGGAGUCAAUCGUUUAUCAACUUAAGAAACAGCUAACUGAACGGGAAAAAGAAAUGCUACAGUAUACAGAAAAAAAUUCUGAAUUACAAAGUGAACUUGAAAAAUCUCUCAUCUGGAAAAAAAAGUAUGAUAUCUUCUAUGAGAAAACGUGUGCAUUAAAGGAAAGAUAUGAAAAUCAAAUUGUUGAACUUAUGAAGGAAGUGAAGCAUUUGCAGUCAUCUAAACAUUCUGGAAAUUCACCUGAUUUUUCUGCUGAGAUUAAAAAGGUAAUGAAUGCUCUUUACAAGCUUCUACAAGGGAAAUUUGAACCAAAUACUGCAUAUCCUGGAGCUAAAGUAUUAGAAAUGACACUGCAGACUAUUAGGGGUUUGACUUUUCAGAUGUUGGAAAUGAAGCGUAAAUCUUCUACAGAUUCAUCUGAACAAAUUUCUGAUCCUGGAAAGUGCUCAGUUGAUGAUGGAUUAAAAUCAAAAUCAAAUGCACUUGAAAAGAAAACAGAGAAUGAAAUAUCAGACCAGCUCAUUUCUAACGAAACUGAAGUAUCUUCACUUCCUCAAAAUGGUUUUCCUGAAGAAAAUGCGAUUGACUCUUCAUUUAACAAAGAGCAGAUAGAAAGUAGUACAGUUAGCAAUAUUAGUGAGCAUAGUAUUUCUGAAAAUCAACCAGAACCUUCGCCUAUUAGCAAAGAUCAGUCAGAUAGUAGUGCAUCUAGCACUACUAUUAGCAACAGUAUUGAGCAAACUGUUUCUGAAAAUCAGACAGAACCUAUGCAAAUGGAAAAUGCUCUGAACAACAUAAGAAAUGAUGAUACUUUACAUAAUAACCUAGGUACUACAGCUGUCGAUAAAUCAGAAGCUGAUGGAAAACUAAAAACUGAAACAAAAGAAGCUGCACAGGAUAGUAUGCGUGCUUCACCUGAUAGCACUGUACAGCUUUCCUCAGGCAACAUGUUUUCUGAAUCGCUUUCUGAAAAUGAGAGGACCAAGGUAGUACCACGCCUUUCGAACUGAUUGCUUAAUAAUUGCAUGGGGUUGCAUGAGCAGACAAUGGCAGAGAUUUGUGCUCCGUUUGAUAUCUACAGAAGCCUUUUCUGGAAUUCCUUUUAUGCUAUUUUGCUUGGUUAUGUGGUGUUUUGGAUUGGUGCUUGGGUACAUGGUUUGGCGACCACAACCU